UCAACUGGCGUUGUACGCAAG
RNAcentral lists this unclassified non-coding RNA (21 nucleotides) under Chlamydomonas reinhardtii. Its description in RNAcentral is "small RNA Cre_2442". The record is from RNAcentral. Lineage: Eukaryota; Viridiplantae; Chlorophyta; Chlorophyceae; Chlamydomonadales; Chlamydomonadaceae.